Molecule: transfer RNA, 76 nt
Filed under: Clostridiales bacterium
Lineage: Bacteria; Bacillati; Bacillota; Clostridia; Eubacteriales
Description: tRNA-Thr
Rfam family: tRNA
About the family: Transfer RNA (tRNA) molecules are approximately 80 nucleotides in length.
Source: RNAcentral
GCAUCUAUAGCUCAGUCGGCAGAGCGCAUCCUUGGUAAGGAUGAGGUCUCCAGUUCGAAUCUGGAUAGAUGCUCCA